ACGCUCGACACCUACGGGAGGCAGCAGUGGGGAAUAUUGCACAAUGGGGGAAACCCUGAUGCAGCAACGCCGCGUGAAGGAAGACGGUUUUCGGAUUGUAAACUUCUGUUCUUAGUGAAGAUAGUGACGGUAGCUAAGGAGCAAGCCACGGCUAACUACGUGUCAGCAGCCGACGGUAAUCUGAGCGGGCUGGCAAGGC
This 199-nucleotide ribosomal RNA is filed under the name uncultured bacterium. Its description in RNAcentral is "partial 16S ribosomal RNA". It matches the Rfam family "Bacterial small subunit ribosomal RNA", at positions 328 to 539 of the family's 1533-position model. The record is from RNAcentral.